Molecule: ribosomal RNA, 434 nt
Filed under: uncultured bacterium
Lineage: Bacteria
Description: bacterial SSU rRNA
Rfam family: Bacterial small subunit ribosomal RNA
Source: RNAcentral
CAGGCCUAACACAUGCAAGUCGAACGCCCUCGCAAGGGGGAGUGGCAGACGGGUGAGUAACACGUGGGAACAUACCCUUCGGUUCGGAACAACGCCGGGAAACUGGCGCUAAUACCGGAUACGCCCUUUUGGGGAAAGGCUUGCCGCCGAAGGAGUGGCCCGCGUUCGAUUAGCUUGAUGGCGGGGUAACGGCCCACCAUGGCGACGAUCGAUAGCUGGUCUGAGAGGAUGGCCAGCCACAUUGGGACUGAGACACGGCCCAAACUCCUACGGGAGGCAGCAGUGGGAAUAUUGGACAAUGGGCGCAAGCCUGAUCCAGCCAUGCCGCGUGAGUGAUGACGGCCUUAGGGUUGUAAAGCUCUUUCGCACGCGACGAUAAUGACGGUAGCGUGAGAAGAAGCCCCGGCUAACUUCGUGCCAGCAGCCGCGGUAAU